UGGGGAAUAUUGGACAAUGGGCGAAAGCCUGAUCCAGCCAUGCCGCGUGAGUGAUGAAGGCCCUAGGGUUGUAAAGCUCUUUUAACGGGGAAGAUAAUGACGGUACCCGUAGAAUAAGCCCCGGCUAACUUCGUGCCAGCAGCCGCGGUAAUACGAAGGGGGCUAGCGUUGCUCGGAAUCACUGGGCGUAAAGCGCACGUAGGCGGACUCUUAAGUCGGUGGUGAAAUCCUGGAGCUCAACUCCAGAACUGCCUUCGAUACUGGGAGUCUCGAGUUCGGGAGAGGUGAGUGGAACUGCGAGUGUUGAGGUGAAAUUCGUAGAUAUUCGCAAGAACACCAGUGGCGAAGGCGGCUCACUGGCCCGAUACUGACGCUGAGGUGCGAAAGCGCGGGGAGCAAACA
Molecule: ribosomal RNA, 402 nt
Filed under: uncultured bacterium
Lineage: Bacteria
Description: bacterial SSU rRNA
Rfam family: Bacterial small subunit ribosomal RNA
Source: RNAcentral